CUCUUUCCGUUUCGCGAUCCUCGGGACCUCCCAGGGCUAGGAGCUGCGCGCCCCACCCGGCCCGCGAGGGGAUGGCAACUACCCGGGGUCCGGAGGCGGGGCUGCGAGUGUCGGGGCGGGGGGCGCGGGCCGGGUCGAGCACCGCCCCGACGAGGGCCCAGGCCAGUCCGGCCCGCCCCGGGUUCCCUCCGUGCCUCAGGUCCCCUCCGUGCCCCGCGUCCUCCCGCGCAUUCCGGUCAUGCCUCAGCCGCGCCAAGGCCUGGGACACGGCCGGACAGACCGCGGGGCAGCCCUCGGAGAAGUGGGAAGAGGGGAGAAAACAGUGGCGAAAAGAAGGUCUCCUGGGAAGGAGCGCCCUGGGAAGCUGGACGCGGUGGGUGCUCUUGAGGGGCCUCAGGAGUGGACUUGGGGAAACCGCCCGCCCUGAAAACUGACUCAGCGGCGCGUUACUGAGGCCGUUCCUAGUUGGAAGAGAAUUAAUAGCACUUGUUUGAGAAUUACAAGUUAGUUCCAGAAAUGAAUCGAGUGACCUCACAGCCCGUAGGCAGGGGUGGGAGAGCCAGGGUGAGCCCCUCACCUCACCCCGCCCCCGCCCCGGCAGCGCUCUGGAAAGCCUCAAAGCCCAGCGCUGCGCGGAAAUGUUAGAGGCCCAAGGCAGGUGGCCUGUCUGGACUCAGACCCGACCCAGAUGUCCCCCCAGGUCCCUACCACUCAGUCCCACCUGCCUCGACUCAGUCCCGACCCAGAUGACCACCCCCCCCCCGCCCCCACCACGACCAACUUUUAUUCCGACUGCGCCAGUGACUUGCAGAUAGCAUAGCUUCAAAUUUCCUCACCUGGUCUGGGGCGGUGAACAGGUCAAGAUGGAGAGUGUCAAGAGAGACUUUUGCUUUGUCUAUGAUGUUUUUAUAUACACUUGCUAAUUAAAUGAACGCAUAUGUUUCCUGUGUAAUUUUGUAUAGGGGAAUAGGGGCCGUGGGAACUGGAAGUAAACAGCCAGUGUGCCAGCAGCUCUUGACUCUAGGUGGUGGGAAUAAGUGCCGUUGUAACCACAGUACCAGCCCAAACGGGGCUUACUCUGUUUGUAACAAUGUUGAGUUACCUUGCAGGUAUAACAGAGCCAAAAACUCUUAAGUCACAAAGCCCAGGCAUGCACCAUAGAAAAAGAUUUGAUCUCUAACAAACAUCCAGAACCAACUAUUCGUCUCCUUGGAACGAAGAAGACUGGGACAUGACUGGAACCCGAACAUUCGAACUCUCAGAAGGGAAGGGUCUCUUGGCCCAGAAGAUAGGGGCUAAAAUCCACCUCAACAUACCGUACCAUAAAUGGCCAAAUUUGAAGGCCUUCAAACAGAUCCUGCCCAGCCAACAUUUCUAAGUCCUUUCCUUUGCCCUCUGCUUCCUUAGAACUUGCCCCAGACCCCAAAUCAGGGAGGAAGAUUUGAACCUGCCUCCUGUCUCCUUGCUGGCUGGUCUUGCAAUAAAGUCUUUCUUUUCUCAAAGGCAGUACCAUGGUAUUGCUUCCGUGUACAUUGAGCAGUGAGCCUGAGGCAGGAAAAUAGGGUCAGGAGGCAGGGAACAUAAGGCCAAUUCACACUUCGGCUGUAACAGGAAAUAUCCACUCCAUAGGGCGUAUGCUGUAAGUGACUUUGUAACUUUACUUCAUCCUCUGCAUUUACGUAGAGGGUAAGUGAAGUAAACAAUGGAAUCAUCUAGGGGAUAUUUAAACUUCCAAAAAUUCUGUAACGGGGCCUUUGAGCCCCUAUGUUCGGGCCGCUCCCACACUGUGGAAUGUAAUUUCGUUUUCAAUAAAUCCCUUCAUUCCUUCCUUGCUUUGUUUGUGCGUUUUGUCCAAUUCUUUGUUCAAGAUGCCAAGAACCUGGACAUCCUCCACCGGUGACAAGCCCAUUUGCUUAAUAAGAUUAUUAUUUUCUUCUCAGUAUUUUUCUGUUACUUAUUUUCUGAAAGUGCCAGGAAGAGGAGGGCAGGCAGGACCACCCCAAAACAGGCCACCUGUGGUAUCAUGGUGACCUCUAACCCCAGCCCCCAAGAAUAUGAAAGUGAUGACGACUCUUAUGAAGUGUUGGAUUUAACUGAGUAUGCAAGAAGACAUCAGCGGUGGAAUUGAGUGUUUGGCCCCAGUUGGAGACCUAUGGUGUUACAGAGAAAUACUCAGUAGCUACCCAGAUUGGAAUGUGUGGCGUGACAGGCUGGUAUGCAGGAUUUUUGCUCCCAAAAGUUGGGAAGGUUGCAGCAACUGCAGUGACUUCCAGAUUGACUGGAAGAGAAUUGAAAGAGACGUACAUAAAGCAAAAAGACAUACUAAGGCCCGGGCGUGGUGGCUCAUGUCUGUAAUCCCAGCACUUUGGGAGGCCGAGGCGUGUGGAUCACCAAGUCAGGAGAUCGAGACCAUCCUGGCCAGCAUGGUGAAACUCCAUCUCUACUGAAACUACAAAAAUUAGCUGGGCGUGGUGGUGGGCGCCUGUAAUCCCAGCUACUUGGGAGGCUGAGGCAGGCGAAUCGCUUGAACCCAGGAGGCAGAAGUUGCAAUGAGCCGAGAUCACGCCACUGCAAUCCAGCCUGAUGACAGAGCAAGACUGCAUCUCAAAAAAGAAAAAAAAAAAAAAAGACAGACUAAGAAAUGAGCAAAUAAAGCAGCACCUGAAAUCAACAAUACAGUUGAAGAAGCAACUGACUUUAUCAAACAGAACAUUGUGAUAUCCACUGAAUUUGUGGGAGGCUUUUUGCUAAGACUUGCAUUUUAAAGACAUGAAUGGUCUACCAUAGUAGACAGCUAUGAGAAGUGGCGGCAACACAGUGUCCUCUCUCAACAGUACAUGCUGCCGGAUCUCAGAAAAACAACUAGCUGGACAAUACUGAACUCACAACUUAGCAUUUUGCCAUCUGGAGCCUGGCAAACUGGUAUUUGCUGUAAAACAACUUAUGUGGUAUGUGAACAGUAGUAGUUCUGAGCAAAACGUGGCUUUUAUCAUUUAAAAAAAAAUGCUUCUCUUUAGAAUUAGCUUAUAAAAUAUCACCAUUGGUUGUAGAUAUGGAGAGAAAAGAAACUGCUACAUUUAUUGCCUGGUGAAAUAUUAAUCCCUUUUCAUUUAAAUAAGAUGUUCUGGCUUGGCGCGGUGGCUCACACCUGUAAUCCCAACACUUUGGGAGGCCAAGGAGGGAGAAUCACCUGAGGUCAGGAGUUCAAAAUCAGCCUGGCCAACAUGGUGAAACCCUGUCUCUACUAAAAAUACAAAACAAUGAGCUGAGCGUGGUGGAGGGUGCCUGUAAUCCCAGCUACUCAGGAGGCUAAGGCACAAGAAUCACUUGAACCCAGGAGUCAGAGGUUGCAAUGAGCUGAGGUUGCGCCACUGCACUCCAGCCUGGGUGACAGAGUGAGACGCUGUCUCAAUAAAUAAAUAAGAUGUUCUUCAUUGUGGUUUACAGUAUAAUGACAAUAAUUUUAAAAUCUGUAUUAUAGCUUCAAUAUUAGGACUGACUUUUUUUUAAAGAUAUGUCUGCAAUAAAUUGAAGAACUGCAAUGCCCUUUUGUGGAAAGCUUUAGAAAUGAUAUAAUUAUUAAAGAUAUUAAAUAGACAAAAAAUAAUUUUCUAAUAAUGAUGAUAAUAAAAGAAUCUCUGAAGUGAGUAUUAGAACUUCUGACUACUUCUAACUAUUGGUCCUACCCAGCCACUGAUGAACUCCAAUCAUAUAGUCUCAAACUGCUCACUUGAUGUUUCUUUGCCUCCAUUUGCCUUUCCGUGAAAUGGGAAUUUAAAACAAAAAUUAAAAAGCCCACGACUGUUGUGAGGACAAAUAAAAUGGUACAUGGCUGAAAGUGUGCAGUAAACACCUUUGAGGACUUGUGUUAUAUAAAUGUCAGUAACAGAUACAGAGGAGACGGAGUGGUUUCGGGUUGUAAAUCCAGCUGAUGAGCUAGUUCAUUGCGGGAGGCUACAUAAUAGAAUGUGCAAAUGGAGAACAAAGAGGAGCUCUCUGGGUCACCUGCCCAUCUUCCAAGCCUGGUUUAGAAUUACAAAGGUGUAGCCAAGGAGGAGUCCUGUUGUAGGUAAGAGCUUUGGAAACCAGAUACUUCAAUCCGAUUAAUAAGAG
RNAcentral lists this long non-coding RNA (4113 nucleotides) under Homo sapiens (human). RNAcentral's name for it is "non-protein coding lnc-FAM50B-6:8". Lineage: Eukaryota; Metazoa; Chordata; Mammalia; Primates; Hominidae. The record is from RNAcentral.